Non-coding RNA from Lonchura striata (white-rumped munia), 1389 nucleotides. The record is from RefSeq and is a predicted model, not a curated record. Lineage: Eukaryota; Metazoa; Chordata; Aves; Passeriformes; Estrildidae.
UUUGUUUCCCCCUUUUUCUUCUCUCUCCUGAUGGUUUUGUUCUUUGUAUGUGCUUCGAUUCCUCCCCUCCUGCUUCCCUCCCCGAAUUCUCACUUUGGGUGGAAAACCAGCCUUUGAUUAAAUUUUAACCAAACUGCCUAAAAUCCAAAUCCAGAUCUUUUUUCUUUCUCUUUUUAUUGCUAAGAAGGAAACAUUAGCACAGCUCGUGACAGCAACUGGUGCCCAUCCUGCUGCAGUGCCUUGGCACAGGCUGGCAAGUGGGGAUGCCACGGACAAAGCCCUGGAUUUUCCAGAUUCCAAGCCCUCCCUGCCAUGGGAUGAGAACACCUGGACAGAUGUGCCACCCAUCAGCACUCACUGACUGAAGGCAGCGUGGGCCAGGACCAAACUGGAAGUGCUAAAGAGGAGCCAAAACCCCAACCAAAAAACACAAAUACUCUAACAAGGCAGACCCGAGGAGGGGCCAUGUAAAUACAUAUUCCUGGAAAAUGCAAACUAGCUUAUGGAUAUGCAUAAGAGUCUAUGAAUAUGAAGCAGGCUGAUGGAAUUAAAAGGUAUUUAAGAUAACAGGACGCCAAGAUGCACCUGGUCAUAAUAACCUUUGCUCUGUGGUCCUUGUUUCCUAUUGUCCUUUAUUAUAACUUUUUACAUUUUCAACGGAGAGUGAACGUGUUUUUCACAACGUGACGUUCCCGAGAUGCACAUCCCAAAACCAGAACGUGGGGAGCGUGCUGGGGCCAGGAUGUGGAGCUGGCUGCUCACCAGUCCUGCCAGGGAGAAGGAAAUGCAGCCUGAAAUCUUCUCCCAACUCUCACCCAUCCCUGUUAGCACCAAUUUCCUUUUCCAGGGAACAGCAACAGCAGCAGGCAGAGAGGGGGAUUCACUUCUCAGUCUGACAGGAAUUACAGAAGAGUUGGAGUUGCAGGGUGAGGAGGGAAAAAUGCUGUUUAAAAUUUACUUUAAUAUUUGAUUGUUGCAGUAAGGUAGAAAAAUUAUAAGAAAAAGACCUCAUAAAAAUCAGGUCUGCUCUGUUAUUUCAGUGGCUGGCCUUGUCAGGCUUUGCAAGUUCCCGUGUUAAAGCAAUCCUGGUGUGAGCAGUUCAUUGACACAACAAUCUGUUCCUGGGUAAAAACCAGGAACAGCACCUGUAGAAACUGGUUUUACACUGUCAGAUAGGAAAAUGAAAACUAUCUCUCACAAACAACUUUUCCUACACAUACACACUGGGGCUUGGAGUGACCAAUCAAUUCAGGGCAACAACUUGUUACUGACCAAUAAAGUAAUUAGUGAGAAAGCUCCUGACUAAUUGGAGUCCCACUCGAGGUCUGUAAAACUGUAUAAAAACCAGUUAUGUGAAUAAAGGAGGGGCUUUUUCCACCAUGAAGAAAA